RNAcentral lists this long non-coding RNA (257 nucleotides) under Athene cunicularia (burrowing owl). Its description in RNAcentral is "lncRNA (ENSACUG00000010014.1)". The record is from RNAcentral. Lineage: Eukaryota; Metazoa; Chordata; Aves; Strigiformes; Strigidae.
GGCAAACCACAGAAGAGUUCAGGCACCUGAGCCAAGAGAUUGAAACCAUGAUAUCUGAAGUAUUCAAGGGAUCCUUUCUAAGUAAAAGGUACAUCAGAUCCCAUGUUGUUAGUCUAAGCCCAGAUCCUGGUGGAGUUCUUGCAUCUGUUGUUCUGGUAUUUAAAUUUGCCACAGCUGACAGUAAGGCAGCAAGCUGGGGCCACGUCAACCGUGUAUUACGCAGAAGGCUGAAAACAAGCUCUAAGUUCUUGAAUGUU